Molecule: ribosomal RNA, 253 nt
Filed under: uncultured bacterium
Lineage: Bacteria
Description: partial 16S ribosomal RNA
Rfam family: Bacterial small subunit ribosomal RNA
Source: RNAcentral
UACAGAGGGUGCGAGCGUUAAUCGGAAUUACUGGGCGUAACGCGUGCGUAGGCGGUCGUGUAAGUCGGGUGUGAAAGCCCCGGGCUCAACCUGGGAAUUGCAUUCGAGACUGCACGGCUGGAGUGCGGAAGAGGGAAGCGGAAUUUCCGGUGUAGCGGUGAAAUGCGUAGAUAUCGGAAGGAACAUCAGUGGCGAACGCGGCUUCCUGGUUCAGCCCUGACGCUCAGGCACGAAAGCGUGGGGAGCAAACAGG